Molecule: non-coding RNA, 135 nt
Organism: Triticum urartu
Lineage: Eukaryota; Viridiplantae; Streptophyta; Magnoliopsida; Poales; Poaceae
Source: Rfam
CAACUACUCCCUCUGUCCUAAAUUUGUUGUCUUAGAUUUGUCUAGAUACGGAUGUAUCUAAUACUAAAAUGUGACUUGAUACAUCUGUAUGUAGACAAAUCUAAGACAAGAAUUUUGGGACAAAGGGAGUACUUU